CCUACGGGCGGCAGCAGUGAGGAAUAUUGGUCAAUGGGCUUACGCCUGAACCAGCCAAGUCGCGUGAGGGAAGACUGCCCUAUGGGUUGUAAACCUCUUUUGUCAGGGAGCAACGCCGGCUACGUGUAGCCGGACUGAGAGGACCUGAAGAAAAAGCAGCGGCUAACUCCGUGCCAGCAGCCGCGGUAAUACGGAGGAUGCGAGCGUUAGCCGGAUUGAUGGGGUUUAAAGGGUGCGUAGGCGGAAUGCCAAGUCAGCGGUAAAAUCGCGGGGCUCAACCUCGCUCCGCCGUUGAAACUGGCGUUCUUGCUUGGGCUAGCAUUAUGCGUAAUGCGUGGUGUAGCGGU
This 347-nucleotide ribosomal RNA is filed under the name uncultured bacterium. RNAcentral describes it as "partial 16S ribosomal RNA". It matches the Rfam family "Bacterial small subunit ribosomal RNA", at positions 338 to 682 of the family's 1533-position model. The record is from RNAcentral.